This 479-nucleotide ribosomal RNA is filed under the name uncultured bacterium. RNAcentral's name for it is "bacterial SSU rRNA". It matches the Rfam family "Bacterial small subunit ribosomal RNA", at positions 30 to 502 of the family's 1533-position model. The record is from RNAcentral.
AUUGAACGCUGGCGGCAUGCUUUACACAUGCAAGUCGAACGGCAGCACGGGUGCUUGCACCUGGUGGCGAGUGGCGAACGGGUGAGUAAUGCAUCGGAACGUGCCCAUGAGUGGGGGAUAGCCCGGCGAAAGCCGGAUUAAUACCGCAUACGCCCUUAGGGGGAAAGCGGGGGAUCUUCGGACCUCGCGCUAUUGGAGCGGCCGAUGUCGGAUUAGCUAGUAGGUGAGGUAAAGGCUCACCUAGGCGACGAUCCGUAGCUGGUCUGAGAGGAUGAUCAGCCACACUGGGACUGAGACACGGCCCAGACUCCUACGGGUGGCAGCAGUUUCGAAUCAUUCACAAUGGGCGAAAGCCUGAUGGUGCGACGCCGCGUGAGGGAUGAAGGUCUUCGGAUUGUAAACCUCUGUCACCAGGGAAGAAAACUAGCCGUUAAUAGCGUCUAGUCUGACUUAACCUGGAGAGGAAGCAGUGGCUAACU